RNAcentral lists this ribosomal RNA (253 nucleotides) under uncultured bacterium. Its description in RNAcentral is "partial 16S ribosomal RNA". It matches the Rfam family "Bacterial small subunit ribosomal RNA", at positions 524 to 776 of the family's 1533-position model. The record is from RNAcentral.
UACGGGGGGGGCAAGCGUUGUUCGGAAUUACUGGGCGUAAAGGGCUCGUAGGUGGCCGAUUCAGUCAGACGUGAAAUCCCUCGGCUCAACCGGGGAACUGCGUCUGAUACUAGUUGGCUUGAAUCCGGGAGAGGGAUGCGGAAUUCCAGGUGUAGCGGUGAAAUGCGUAGAUAUCUGGAGGAACACCGGUGGCGAAGGCGGCGUCCUGGACCGGUAUUGACACUGAGGAGCGAAAGCCAGGGGAGCAAACGGG